UUGGCCCAGAUCGUUUACCGUGAAAAAAUUAGAGUGUUCAAAGCAGGCAGAUCCAAUUUUCUGCCACCGAAUACAUUAGCAUGGGAUAAUGGAAUAGGACCCUGUCCUCCUAUUUUCAGUUGGUUUUGGCAGCGCGAGGACUAGGGUAAUGAUUAAUAGGGAUAGUUGGGGGCAUUAAUAUUUAAUUGUCAGAGGUGAAAUUCUUGGAUUUAUGAAAGAUUAACUUCUGCGAAAGCAUCUGCCAAGGAUGUUUUCAUUAAUCAAGAACGAAAGUUAGGGGAUCGAAGACGAUCAGAUACCGUCGUAGUCUUAACCAUAAACGAUGCCGACCAGCGAUUAGGAGACGUUGAAUACAAAACACCACCAUCGGUUGCGGUCGUCCUUGGCGUCUCGGUUUCGGCCGGGGCGCGGGGAUGGCUUAGCCCGGUGGCACCGGUGAAUGACUCCCUAGCAGCUUGUGAGAA
This 464-nucleotide ribosomal RNA is filed under the name Acanthamoeba genotype T4. Its description in RNAcentral is "SSU rRNA". It matches the Rfam family "Eukaryotic small subunit ribosomal RNA", at positions 738 to 1096 of the family's 1831-position model. Lineage: Eukaryota; Discosea; Longamoebia; Acanthamoebidae. The record is from RNAcentral.